UACAGAGGCCUCAAGCGUUGUUCGGAUUCAUUGGGCGUAAAGGGUGCGCAGGCGGCGUGGAAAGUUGAGUGUGAAAUCCCGGGGCUUAACCUCGGAACUGCACUCAAUACUACCAUGCUAGAGGAAUGUAGAGGAGAGUGGAAUUCACGGUGUAGCAGUGAAAUGCGUAGAUAUCGUGAGGAAGACCAGUUGCGAAGGCGACUCUCUGGGCAUUUCCUGACGCUCAUGCACGAAGGCCAGGGGAGCAAACGGG
RNAcentral lists this ribosomal RNA (253 nucleotides) under uncultured Spartobacteria bacterium. RNAcentral describes it as "partial 16S ribosomal RNA". It matches the Rfam family "Bacterial small subunit ribosomal RNA", at positions 524 to 776 of the family's 1533-position model. Lineage: Bacteria; Pseudomonadati; Verrucomicrobiota; Spartobacteria. The record is from RNAcentral.